This is a long non-coding RNA of Bactrocera oleae (olive fruit fly), 597 nucleotides long. RefSeq lists it as uncharacterized. NCBI's taxonomy places the organism in Eukaryota, Metazoa, Arthropoda, Insecta, Diptera, Tephritidae. The record is from RefSeq and is a predicted model, not a curated record.
UUUAGAUCUAUACGUGUAGUAUUUAUUGUAUUUAUAUAUGCUCUUUCUAUUUGAAUACACAUUGUAAGCCGGUGGCAACGAUUUAAAAUGUGGCUUCAACUUGGCAGCAUGCUGUUGUGUGGUGAAUUAAACAAUAGGUCGGUAUUAAUUCACGUUCACAUUUGUCCGAAAAUUAUUUCACAGAUGUCAUUGUAAAAUGUCUUAACACUUGUCAAAAUUAUUAACGUAACUGAAAUUCAUUAAGCGAAUGGCUAAAAGGAAUAAUGAUUGCGACGGUUGUAUUUAUAUAAAUUUAUAAGUAUCAAAUAUCAAGGAUAUUGAAAAAUGAAGUUUGCAAUGGCGAGUUGCAAUAACUAUUGUGCAAAUAAUUUUUUUCAGUUUUCCUUCGGAUAUAAAAGUUUCUAAAAUAUUGAACUGGGAUGCUGGAUAUAAAUGCUGGAACGGUAUAACAGAUCUUAUUUGCAAAUAAAUUUUCCCUCCAAUUGAUUAUAAAAUAUAAACUAUUGAUCAAUAAAAAAUAAUUAAAUCCACCAACGAGGUCGACUCUUCAACUAAAAAUCAAUAAAAAAAUUUUAAAUAAACAACUUAGAAAAUGUU